UACGUAGGGUGCAAGCGUUAAUCGGAAUUACUGGGCGUAAAGCGUGCGCAGGCGGCUAUGCAAGACAGAUGUGAAAUCCCCGGGCUCAACCUGGGAACUGCAUUUGGGACUGCAAGGCUUGAGUACGGCAGAGGGGGGUAGAAUUCCUGGUGUAGCAGUGAAAUGCGUAGAUAUCAGGAGGAAUACCGAUGGCGAAGGCAGCCCCCUGGGUCGAUACUGACGCUCAUGCACGAAAGCGUGGGGAGCAAACAGG
RNAcentral lists this ribosomal RNA (253 nucleotides) under uncultured bacterium. Its description in RNAcentral is "partial 16S ribosomal RNA". It matches the Rfam family "Bacterial small subunit ribosomal RNA", at positions 524 to 776 of the family's 1533-position model. The record is from RNAcentral.